RNAcentral lists this ribosomal RNA (108 nucleotides) under uncultured Aestuariimicrobium sp. Its description in RNAcentral is "partial 16S ribosomal RNA". It matches the Rfam family "Bacterial small subunit ribosomal RNA", at positions 338 to 444 of the family's 1533-position model. Lineage: Bacteria; Bacillati; Actinomycetota; Actinomycetes; Propionibacteriales; Propionibacteriaceae. The record is from RNAcentral.
CCUACGGGAGGCAGCAGUGGGGAAUAUUGCACAAUGGGCGGAAGCCUGAUGCAGCAACGCCGCGUGCGGGAUGACGGCCUUCGGGUUAGUAAACCGCUUUACGCCUGU